This 3280-nucleotide long non-coding RNA is filed under the name Cottoperca gobio. RNAcentral describes it as "lncRNA (ENSCGOG00000000979.1)". The record is from RNAcentral. Lineage: Eukaryota; Metazoa; Chordata; Actinopteri; Perciformes; Bovichtidae.
CUUUUUUUUAAAGGAUUCCUGCUCCCUAAAGUAUACAUACAAUGGUCAAAGUGGACCUUCAGGGGGCCGGGCAGGAGGUGGGCGGAGUCGCUCCGGAGUCCGGGCUAGAGAGAGCACUAGGUUCUGGAGAGGAGAGGGAAUUGAAGGGGUCUCGGGAAGAGAGGGGAGCGAAGGGGUCCCGGGAAGAGAGGGGAGCGAAGGGGUCUCGGGAAGAGAGGGGAGCGAAGGGGUCCCGGGAAGAGAGGGGAGCGAAGGGGUCCCGGGAAGAGAGGGGAGCGAAGGGGUCUUGGGAAGAGAGGGGAGCGAAGGGGCUGGGGUCUCAGUCACAAGCUGUGUAUUUUGAAGUGUUCACGCCCCCUUAUGUCAUGUCUAGUUGUACUUCCUGUCUGUGUGUUUUCCUCUGUGAUUGUUGAUUUGUUCCUCCUGUGUCCGUUCACCUUGCCCUUGUGUUUUAGCUUCUCUCCCCAGCUGUGUCUCGUUCCCCUCGUUUAGUGUCUGUGGGUAUAUAUCCCUGUCUUUCCCAGUGUUCCUUGUCAGAUCGUCAUCCAUGUGUCACUCUUGUUUGUUGAUGGUUCCUCGUGCCUCCUUGUGCUCCCCGUGUCAUCCUGGUUUGUCUUUUCAGUUUACUUUUUCCCUUUUGUAUUUUUGUUAUUUUAUAAGCUUUUUGAAUAAAGCCCUCUUUUUGUUAACUUCCUCGUCUGCCGUCUUGCAUUUGAGUUCUCACCUUUUCCCCACCGUGACAGUGGCCCAGUCUUCCAGCCACUCCAUUUCCCAAGGUCCUUUGCACCUGGCUAAAACUUCUAACAGCCAAGCGUCUGGCCCGGGCCUGAAUCUGGGCAUGAACCUCGUCUUCAUUGUUGGCUGCCUCCUGGGAUGCGGAGUGGUGAUCUACCGUUCAAGGAGGUCCCAAGUUAAAUACCAACUCCUGCCAAACUCUGAGACAGACUAAAGACAGAGACACCAUUUUGAUACACAUACAAGAUUCUCAGUUACAGUGUAAUAUUUGUAGGUUAUGUUUUGGGGUAUAAGUGGUGAAUCAUUGUCACACAGUCCACAAUGUGAAAAGAUGGAAGUUACUUAUAUAGAGUGAGACGGCAUUAAGUGUGUGAGAAUGAAAAGUGUUGGAUGUGUCUUUGCAUUUCUGGUGAAAGAUGAAGUUCUUGAAGUUUGAUCCAUGAAGACAAAUGAAUCUGGCAACAAUAUAGAUCUUUUAAGAGCAUUUAUCAAACAUCAACAUCAAAGCACUAUAUAUGAAGGAGUCAUAAAUCUCAUAGUUUCAAUACCGGGACCAGAAGAUGUGGAUAUAACCAGCAUGUUUGUGUCACUGAUUGUUUCUCAUCAACACAUUUCUUUAUGACACUGACUGCUUACUGUUUUGAUGUUUUGUCCAAUGCUAUUGUGUUUGCACUAAGCUUUACUAUUCAAAUUUCAACAUUACAUUACAGGUCAUUUAGAGGAUGCUCUCAUCCAGAGCGACUUACAGUGAACUAAGUACAGGGACAGUCUCCCUGGAGCAGCUCAGGGGUACAAUGGUGGCAGCCAGUUUUGUUUGGAAGGCGUACCACUAGACCACUAGGCCAUCACCACCCACAUUAGGUCAGAGUUUUCUGAGAAAGUAGUACACAGUGCAACGUGUUACAUGUACUGUAACCAGAAAUAAUGAACAUUUGAUCUUUCAUGUAAAGUCACAAACAGUGAACAGAACUUUUGCCCCAAAAUGAUGAAAAACAAAUCAGCAACAAAGUAAAAACGUUUGGCAGUUCAGUAAAAACAAACAAAUAGUCCCUCCUCACUUAUAGAUAGUUAUGGUAUAUACAUGCAUGAUCAACAAAUGGUAUUUGUGCAAAUGUUCUUGAAAUAAUGAAAAUGAAAAGUUAUUGUGAUUAACAAAAAUGAUUCAGUGUUUUCACACACAAAAAAAUUUCAAUCAAGAAUUGAGCCAAACGCGAAUCAGAAAAACUGAAAGGAAUUUGUGCUGUAAAAAUAAACGUGUUAAGUGAGGCAACGUCACGAUCUUGUUGUACUUGCUUCCUGUUUUAUUUUGAAAUGUUCACUCCCCCUUGUAUCAUGUCUUUUGUUACUUCCUGUCCUUUUUCUUCCCUCCCUCUGUGAUUGUUGCUUUGAUCCUCCUGUGUCCAUCCGCCCUACCCUUGUCUUUGCCUUUCUCCUCCUGCUUUGUCUCAUUUCUGUGAUUAGUGUCUGUGUGUAUAUAUAUCCCUGUCUGUCUCAGUGUUCCUUGUCGGUUCGUCAUCCAUGUUAAGCCCUUCUUACUUGAUGUUUUUGCGUGCCUCCCCGUGCUCCCUCGUGUCAUCCUGGUUUGUGUUUUCAGUAGUGAUGGCGAGAUGAAGCUUCAUGAAGCAUUCCCUCCAAUUGGUUCACUUAUGGGCCGAAGCUUCAUGGUGCUUCAUUUUCUCUACUGUGUCAUCAAGUGGACAAUAAAUGUAAAACAGGCAGAUGUUGUCUCUCAACCAUGUGAUCUUUGAUAUACUAUGUUGUGUGACAUUAGUGUAUUCGUGCGCAGUUACGGGAAAUCAAAUGACUGCAUCUGUUAUUUUUGUUAUUUUGCUCAUUCAUUGAAUAUUUCUAGACUCUUAUGGGGUUUUUAAAUCGGGGAAAUUAAGAGCUAAAAACUACAGAUUCUAUUCUUCGAUUGUGUGUGUGAAAGAAAUCCAGCUGCUGCCAGCUGACUCGGUGGGGGGGCGACUACAGAAUGAUCACGUUGCAAUAAUGUGCAGUAACUUAAACUAGUUAGUCACAUGUUGUGAACUUUUUAUCUUGUCCAUCCACAAUAAUCUGAAUCGAUAUGAAGACAUAACAAAACAACAAAGCACAGACGUGUCAAACAUGGCUUUUUUUGUUUUUGUUUCCAUCACAUUAUUUGUGCUAUUCAGAUUCGGGAACUUCCCCAACCACAACUCACUUCAAUGCUUUCACUACUGACACUUCGAAAGCUCUCAGGUUUCAGGUUUUCAGCUUUACAAAAAAUAAAAUCAAACUCUAUCUCCCACAACCUUCACUGUUGAUACCCAAUUGAUUUUAUUUUUAUUGUUCAUAAACUUAUAGCUCCCUCUUCACCCGACAUCGUUCAGUUAAUACACAUGAACUGGUAUUUUCAGGACUUCACGUACAUUUUCCUCUCAUGUCUUCUAGUUGGUUCUUUCGUGCCUCAAUUAUGCAACUUAGGCUAUUUCUUUUAAUAUUUCUUUAUGAGUAUGCAAUCACAUGCAGACCAGUGUCAUUGUGAUUUGUGAUAUGACUUUUGUUUGUGUCAUGUGUGGCG